Molecule: ribosomal RNA, 468 nt
Filed under: uncultured bacterium
Lineage: Bacteria
Description: partial 16S ribosomal RNA
Rfam family: Bacterial small subunit ribosomal RNA
Source: RNAcentral
GACGAACGCUGGCGGCGUGCUUAACACAUGCAAGUCGAACGGAAAGGCCCUGCUUUUGUGGGGUGCUCGAGUGGCGAACGGGUGAGUAACACGUGAGUAACCUGCCCUUGACUUUGGGAUAACUUCAGGAAACUGGGGCUAAUACCGGAUAGGAGCUCCUGCUGCAUGGUGGGGGUUGGACCGUUUCGGCGGUUGGGGAUGGACUCGCGGCUUAUCAGCUUGUUGGUGGGGUAGUGGCUUACCAAGGCUUUGACGGGUAGCCGGCCUGAGAGGGUGACCGGCCACAGUGGGACUGAGAUACGGCCCAGACUCCUACGGGAGGCAGCAGGGGGGAAUAGGGCACAAUGGGCGGAAGCCGGAUGCAGCAACGCCGCGUGCGGGAUGACGGCCGUCGGGGUGUAAACCGCUUUCGCCGGUGACGAAGCGGGAGUGACGGUAAUGGGUAAAGAAGCACCGGCUAACUACGUG